CGUGGGGAGGAGCUUGCUCCGCCCCGACGACGAGUGGCGAACGGGUGAGUAAUACAUCGGAACGUGUCCGCUCGUGGGGGACAACCAGCCGAAAGGUUGGCUAAUACCGCAUGAGUUCUACGGAAGAAAGAGGGGGACCCGCAAGGGCCUCUCGCGAGCGGAGCGGCCGAUGACUGAUUAGCCAGUUGGUGAGGUAACGGCUCACCAAAGCAACGAUCAGUAGCUGGUCUGAGAGGACGACCAGCCACACUGGGACUGAGACACGGCCCAGACUCCUACGGGAGGCAGCAGUGGGGAAUUUUGGACAAUGGGCGCAAGCCUGAUCCAGCUAUUCCGCGUGUGGGAUGAAGGCCCUCGGGUUGUAAACCACUUUUGUAGAGAACGAAAAGACACCAUCGAAUAAAUGGUGUUGCUGACGGUACUCUAAGAAUAAGCACCGGCUAACUACGUGCCAGCAGCCGCGGUAAUACGUAGGGUGCGAGCGUUAAUCGGAAUUACUGGGCGUAAAGGGUGCGCAGGCGGUUGAGUAAGACAGAUGUGAAAUCCCCGAGCUUAACUCGGGAAUGGCAUAUGUGACUGCUCGACUAGAGUGUGUCAGAGGGAGGUGGAAUUCCACGUGUAGCAGUGAAAUGCGUAGAUAUGUGGAAGAACACCGAUGGCGAAGGCAGCCUCCUGGGACA
RNAcentral lists this ribosomal RNA (680 nucleotides) under uncultured beta proteobacterium. RNAcentral describes it as "bacterial SSU rRNA". It matches the Rfam family "Bacterial small subunit ribosomal RNA", at positions 67 to 736 of the family's 1533-position model. Lineage: Bacteria; Pseudomonadati; Pseudomonadota; Betaproteobacteria. The record is from RNAcentral.